CACCGCGGUUAUACGAGAGGCCCAAGUUGGCAAAAACCGGCGUAAAGCGUGGUUAAGAAACUUCACCCCCUAAAGUUGAACCCCUCCUAGGCAGUUAUACGCAUUAGGGGGUGUGAAACCCUUCCACGAAAGUGACUUUAACUUAUUCCGAACCCACGACAGCUAAGAAA
Molecule: ribosomal RNA, 170 nt
Filed under: Paraulopus oblongus
Lineage: Eukaryota; Metazoa; Chordata; Actinopteri; Aulopiformes; Paraulopidae
Description: partial 12S rRNA
Source: RNAcentral